GUGGGCCGUAGUUUGAGGAUGCCUGCUUUAGAGGCUUUCUCCCCUCCUACUGCUACUGCCUUCUCUCCCCGUCCUCUCAACAAUGACACGUCCUCACUUCUUCAACUUUGGCUCAUAUACCUUGAAAUUUAGAUUACACCCUUAGCAUGCAGCUAAAUUUCUCUCUCAAUGGAUACAGGAGAGGGAACUACACUCAGCUAAGUCCCACGCUGCUGCUUAACACACAUCGUUAUAGGUAAUCUACACCUGACAUAAAACAGGCUCUCGAUGCGGGUGCCUUACUCCGUCAUACAAUCCAGUACUCUUCCUAGCCUGGCAUGCCCCGGCACAUCUGGGGGUAGAACACCCUCCUGCUGUGACUGUCAGGGCAGUGAUUCUCAGUGGUGGUGGGGAGAUAUUUGUUCCAGAAGCCCAGGGGAGUCUGAUACCAACCCCAGACUGUAUCCUUGCCCCUGCUGCAUCCUGCAAGACCUGCUCCCAGACACCACAGCGUCCUGGCCCCCCGGGCCUCUGCCCCCUCCCUAACCACGGGCCUCCCUCACCUUCUUCUGCCCUACUCUCCAUGUGCCUCCUGUCCACACCCUCCUGGGUUUUAGUCCACAGCAUCUCCACCAUGAUGAGCGUAUGUCUUUGCAGGGGACUCUGAAGGCUCUGGGUUUAGGAGCCCUGACUUUUCCCAGACCAACAGGUGCCUGUUUCCAGCUGUUCCUCAACCCAACCCUAACGGAUCUGUGAAGGCCUCUUAAGGAGGGAACAACUGAAUUGGGUCUUGUGGGACAGACACCAAUAUCAGCGCCCUGGAGAAGAGGAGAGCAGGGCCUUCAGGGGGAAGGCCAGGGUGCGUAACACAGGACGCAGAGGCAGGGAGCCCUGGCGUGUUGGCAAAAUGUGUGACUGCUGGGGUAAGGAAGUGGGCGAGGCAAGAAUGAUGCCAGAGAAAAUGCCACCCUGCCAGCUAAGAAGUAGCUACAAGAGGAUCUAGUGAUAUGGCCAAGGCAGAAAAUGUCCACAAACUAACAUCUGGCCCCACUGGCAAAGUGCCUGUAGGAGUCACUGUGGGGAUGUUAACACGCUCCAGGGCCUGCCUCUAGGGCAGCCCCACCCCUGCAGGACAUGGCAUGAGAGAGCAGGCAGGUGACGACUGUGAUGGGCUCAGGGCGAGGCAGUGGGUCAGCAUGGAGGUCACAGAAGGAGUUGAGCGGCAUAUACUGUCACCCGCCAUGCCAGGCCCACACUGCCAACCGCUCCUGCUCUCAGUGCCCAGGCCUGCUCCUCCAGCUGCUCCAGGGAGGUCCUGGGGCUCCCGAGAAUACUGAAGGGUUAACAGGACGGGGGAGGGACUCGCUUCUUUCCCCACAACCUGAGACUUCUGCAGAGGUUUCACCUGGCGUGCUCUGCCGCUUUACCUGGAAUGCCCUGUGCACCGUCACUUGCUAAAUCUGCACCUCCUUCACGGCCCGGCGCCUCUCCUGCCGCCUCGGCUGAGGGUAAUUAUUCCCUCCACGCUGCCUUCGACCCACGCACCUGACACGUAGCUCCGGGUCGUUCCGCUGGCAUUUCUGUUUCUUCUUCUUUCCUCAUGUGAGACGGCAAGUUCCCUGACACAAGGACCUUUCCAAGGAGCAUAGUGUGUGGCCUGCUCUCCCCACACGUGCUGGGUGCCGUGUCUAUGCAGAACAGAUGUGCAACCAGAGUUGAGUGAAUGGCAGGUGCCCCCAGGCAAUUCAUGCAAACACGUGCUCUCGGCGCAAUCCCGGGCAGGGCUGACAGCAGCAAACACCAGGAGAGCCCCCAUCCCCUGUCUCAUGGCUUGGAGCAUUCUUGAGUGGGGGAAGCAGCAGAGGGCAGCAGACUCUGGAUGAUGGGGACAGAAAAGACAGUCUUGCCCUCUCAGAACCAGCGGCUUCUCUGUAGCAAGGGACAAGGGUCCCAGGCAAGAUCUUGAGGAUGCAGGGAACAGGCGAUGCACUUACGUGAGGAGUGGGCACAGAACAAGCCCAGGACCAGGGCUUCGGAGAGCUGUCAGGUAGCCGUGAGCAAGUCCUCAUUUCCCAUAUCUUCUGUUUCCUCCUCAGUGAAAGGGGCAUCAGACAGUACCCGCCUCCCAGAGAGCUGGGAAGACGACAUGAGACUGCGUCUGUAAGACACCACAGUCUAGCACAAUGUGCGCAGCAAGUGUGGUCUGUGGUCAGCUGGGUGAAUGUUCGGCAACAGGCUCUCCAAAAAUAAAUUACCUCUAUCCAUCCAUAAAGAGGCAGAGCCAGAAACCUAAAAUGGUUUUCUCCAAAUAGAAAACAUUGAUUAUCUGGGAAAAGGGAAUAAAUGUUGGUGAUUAUUUUUUA
Microcebus murinus (gray mouse lemur) is the source of this 2342-nucleotide non-coding RNA. NCBI's taxonomy places the organism in Eukaryota, Metazoa, Chordata, Mammalia, Primates, Cheirogaleidae. The record is from RefSeq and is a predicted model, not a curated record.